GAUGAACGCUGGCGGCGCGCCUAACACAUGCAAGUCGAACGGCACCCCUCCUCGGAGGGAAGCGAGUGGCGAACGGCUGAGUAACACGUGGAGAGCCUGCCCCCUCCCCCGGGAUAGCCGCCCGAAAGGACGGGUAAUACCGGAUACCCCGGGGUGCCGCAUGGCACCCCGGCUAAAGCCCCGACGGGAGGGGAUGGCUCCGCGGCCCAUCAGGUAGACGGCGGGGUGACGGCCCACCGUGCCGACAACGGGUAGCCGGGUUGAGAGACCGACCGGCCAGAUUGGGACUGAGACACGGCCCAGACUCCUACGGGAGGCAGCAGUGGGGAAUCUUGCGCAAUGGGGGGAACCCUGACGCAGCGACGCCGCGUGCGGGACGGAGGCCUUCGGGUCGUAAACCGCUUUCAGCAGGGAAGAGUCAAGACUGUACCUGCAGAAGAAGCCCCGGCUAACUACGUG
RNAcentral lists this ribosomal RNA (459 nucleotides) under uncultured bacterium. RNAcentral describes it as "partial 16S ribosomal RNA". It matches the Rfam family "Bacterial small subunit ribosomal RNA", at positions 28 to 507 of the family's 1533-position model. The record is from RNAcentral.